This 552-nucleotide ribosomal RNA is filed under the name Rhodosporidiobolus colostri. RNAcentral describes it as "eukaryotic LSU rRNA". It matches the Rfam family "Eukaryotic large subunit ribosomal RNA", at positions 99 to 648 of the family's 3401-position model. Lineage: Eukaryota; Fungi; Basidiomycota; Microbotryomycetes; Sporidiobolales; Sporidiobolaceae. The record is from RNAcentral.
CGGGAAGAGCUCAAAUUUGUAAUCUGGCGCUUUCAGCGUCCGAGUUGUAAUCUCUAGAAAUGUUUUCCGCGUUGCACCGCACACAAGUCUGUUGGAAUACAGCGGCACAGUGGUGAGACCCCCGUUCAUGGUGCGGAUGCGCAAUGCUUUGUGAUACAUUUUCGAAGAGUCGAGUUGUUUGGGAAUGCAGCUCAAAUUGGGUGGUAAAUUCCAUCUAAAGCUAAAUAUUGGCGAGAGACCGAUAGCGAACAAGUACCGUGAGGGAAAGAUGAAAAGCACUUUGGAAAGAGAGUUAACAGUACGUGAAAUUGUUGGAAGGGAAACGCUUGAAGUCAGACUUGCUGUUCGGAGUUCAGCCGCAAGGUGUACUCUCCGAGUUGCAGGCCAGCAUCAGUUUUUCGGGGUGGAAAAUCACGGUUUGAAGGUAGCAGUUUCGGCUGUGUUAUAGCUUUCCGUUGGAUACAUCCUGGGGGACUGAGGAACGCAGUGUGCUUUUAGCAGGGGUUUCGACCUCUUCACACUUAGGAUGCUGGUGGAAUGGCUUUAAACGAC